This 1288-nucleotide small RNA is filed under the name Cryptococcus neoformans H99. RNAcentral's name for it is "Cryptococcus neoformans var. grubii H99 hypothetical RNA". The record is from RNAcentral. Lineage: Eukaryota; Fungi; Basidiomycota; Tremellomycetes; Tremellales; Cryptococcaceae.
CCUCGCUACCUGCAAUAGUAUUGUCGUCUUUCGUACCAAUAUCACUCCGCCCUUUCUUUUAUUCAAUCUACGCAUCCCCUCGUCUAUUCUGGCCGCCUUGUUUCCCCUUGAACCUUGCCACAUAACACAAAACGCAAAACGCUCGCAUGCAAGGCAGAUGCCGGCGGCACCUGACGUUUGGUAAACCGCCGGCUGCAGUAAUGUCUUAAUAAUCGGUCACCGACGUUGCAUUUGUUAAUUAUUGCACAUGUAAACGGCGCCUCAUACGUGUACUCUCAUACAUAACGAACAUAUGAAUGAACAACCAGACAACAUCAAUGCCCUCCCUUGAUCCACGGUAAAGCUCCUUGUAUGAUGCAAACCACGAAGGUAUCCGUAUAACAUUAUCCAAUCAGAUCUUCACCAAAGCAACCAGCAAAGAGCUUUCGAACAAAAAGCAUCCUUUGAAAGACAAGCAACCAACGGUCGCGAGGGCCCCAUUAAUUAACAAAAUAUACGCGAUGAGUACGGUUGAGAGAGCUGAAUGCAUGCAUAUAUGAUUCAUGCAUGAUUAUUUAUAAAGGUCCAACAACAGAAUGUCUCUAUAACGAUCGGUCUAUCAUUCUGGCGCUCGUUCAAAGUCCUUACAACCCUUGCACCAGCCCUCCUUCUCCUUCAUCGCUUUCUCCUUCCACCACUUCGCCCUCCCUCAACACCUUCCAGCCCACUUUUUCAAGCCCCGGUAUCUUAUACUUUGGGCUAACAACCCAUUCCCAUCCACCAUCCGCGUUCGCUUCAACAUUCGCAUCAAUGUUCGGUCUAAUAUCCGCACUGCCGUUCGCUUCUGCCCUCUGCUUCGUAUCUGCCCCCUUUGGACCGAUCCUCGAUCCAGCAACAACAUCCACGCCGGAUUCAGGGUCUUCAUCGGGAGGAGAAAGAUCUCGGGUGCAAGCUGAAAUGAAUUCCGAGACGGGCUUGAGAACCCAGCGCUGCUUGGAUUUGGUUUUGUCGAAGAAAGGACCAUCGAACCACCCGAGAUGGCCUAUAUGGAUUGCAAAUCAGUCUCACUAUCAAAGAGAAAUAGAAUGGAGAAGAAGUAGAAACGAGAGACGAACCACCUCCGCCUGUGACAGCAGUGUAAAUGUGUGAGGAGGCCACAAAUUCAUCGAGCGGCAAAGCACCUAUAGAAAAGGUGACGGGAUUAGCCCAUAGUUCAUGCCGUACGGUUUGACAAAAAGACAUACCUCCAUCCACGACAGGAUCGUCGAAUGCAUUGAUAGCAAACAAUGGGCUAAUUUGGGGGAACGAC